Molecule: long non-coding RNA, 2407 nt
Filed under: Capra hircus (goat)
Lineage: Eukaryota; Metazoa; Chordata; Mammalia; Artiodactyla; Bovidae
Description: lncRNA (ENSCHIG00000007042.1)
Source: RNAcentral
GUAAAAUCCAAACAAUGACCGAUCUCCAGUGAAUAUCAGUGAUGGAGUGCUCUCCCCCUUGCUUGCCUUUCAGGACUGAACUUUUGUUACCUCCCUGCCAGCAACGUCCAGUGGGGAGGGUCCUCCCCAGGACCCCAGACCCAGCUUGGGUUCGAGAUCGGACCACUCUCCCCAUCUCCUCUCGUUUCCAGCGGGCCAAGCUCAUGGAAGGAGAGGGAACCAGAGAACUCUGACCUCCCCAGUUGGAGGAGAUGGAGAAUUCGGCCAGUUCGCCACUUGAGACCUGCCAGUUUCUGGAUUUUAAUGGCCUUUUCUCCCAGGCAGAGGUGAAAGAAACCCAGGGAGCCUCCUGGAAAUCCCAUUGACUUGGCAGAAAGAAGAGCUGGACGAUGACUGGAAGGUUCCGGAAGACAUCAUGGGGAGACAUCUCAGGAAGGGAAAGUCAAUUAUCCACAAGGACUCAGGGGCGGUGCUCCCCAUCAAAGGCUGGUGUCAGGAAAGACUCUGAGGUCAGAAUCCAGACACGGGAUUGGAGGUGCUGAUGAACUCUGCUGCAGCACAGACGUCGGGGAGAAGAACUCCAGCGAGGUUAGCAGUGGAGCUGAGAUUGGAAGAGGACUCAAAGAAUGGAAGACGUCAGCGAUCUACCAGUAGUAUGGGAGUCUCCAAGAAUCCAGGUUUAACAUUCAAAGCAAAGACCCCUCACCUGGAGGCCUCCAUCCACCUGAGCAUUCUUCAAGGAUCUCCUUGGGUCCCAGGUUAUCUAAUUUUUGGAUGGAGAGGGGAGCAGAGGACAGGCCAUCCAGAUGGCAUUGAAGGGACUUCCCUGGUGUUGCAGUGAUUAGACUCUGCCUGCCAAUGUAAGGGGCCCAGGUUCCAUCCCUGGUCAGGGAACUAGAUCUCACAUGCUGCAACUAAUAAGAGUUCAGAUGCUGCCACUAAAGAUCCUGCAUGCCAAAACCAAGACCUGGAGCAGCCAAAUAAAUAAAAUAAAUAAAAAUAAAAAUAUAUAUAUAAGACAGCAUUGAAGACUAAAGACCUGUAUGUGUUCAGGAUCAAGAGUUCUGUUUUCAUUUCUUUACUGAGACUAUGGGCAAGUAGCGAACUUGUCACUUGAUCAAAUCUGUCAAAAAUGAGAACAUUUACCCCCCUAUUGGUAAAGAACCUGCCUGCCAGCGCAGGAGAUGUGAGACACAGGUUCGAUCCCUGGGUCGGGAAGAUUCCCUGGAGGAGGGCAUGGCAACCCACUGCAGUGUUCUUGCCUGGAGAAUCCUAUGGGCAGAGGAGCCUGGCGGGCUACAGAGUUGGGACACAACUGAAAAGACUUAGCACAGCCCCAUCCCAUUGGACUGUGGAGACCAGGAAAUGAAGAGGGGUGAAGAGAAGCCCCCGCGUGGGGCUGGCACCCAAGAGGUCAUGAGCAGAGGAGCACGUGGGCUAGCCCAGCCUGUGCCUUCACUCUGCCUGAGAAGUUGGAGUCUCUGAGUUUCUGAAGCUGCCCGCUUGGCUUCAGAAGAGAGAGAUUCCCAGACGUUUUCAGUGCUCCAGACAUGCUCAGACUUGCAGGUGCCAUUUUGAAUUUUCGAGAGGCCCUUGACUUAAGGGUGUGAGUUCACAGAAAAUGCUUUUGUCUAACGUGUAACCCUAUCUUGACCGAUACAGAUUUCUUCCCCCCAGCCCAGGGAGGGGAAUGGGAGUCCUCCGAAGACCCCGCCCACCUUUUAUCUCAUGGCUUGUUCCAAUAGUUUGGGAGAUAGGCCAGGGAGAUACCAAUGUCCCCAAGAUCCCCAGGAGAGAUCAGCUGUUGACUUCAAAGAGUCAGUGCCUUCGGAUCAGAGGGAUGGAGGGUGAGUGAUUCCAGCAACUCUGCAAGUAGUGAGGUCCCCUGGCCAGCUGGACUGACAGGUCUUGCGCUUUCAUUUAAAGGAGCAAUCGAUCAGAGAUGAUGAUGGGGGUUUUGUGGCUUCAUGCAUGUCUCCCAGGAUGCUCAGGGAGACAAGGAAAGGGGUAUCAUUAAAGUUGAGUUACAUUUCUGUACCACAUGCCCUGUGAGGUCAGGCGAAUGCUACGCGUAGGACAGGAAAUCGAGGCAGCGAAACAUCUUGCCCAGGGGCCACCCAGCUGUUAAGAUAAGAAAGAAGGGCUUGGCUCCUUCUAUUCUAGCUGACACUUCCUCCUUCCACUCCGAGUUUCAUUACCUUGAAUUUAGCACCUGCUGUCUUGCCUGGAAAAUCCCAUGGACAGAAGAGCCUGGUGGGCUACAGUCCAUGGGGUCGCACAGAAUCAGACGUGACUGAAGUGACUAAGCAGUAGCAGUGUGAGGUUAUACGGGGAGGAGGCGCCCAAGACCUCUCUGACCUGUUUACAUCACCUGGCCCUUGUCCUCUGGAUUCCAGCCCACCCUCAC